GACGAACGCUGGCGGCGUGCUUAACACAUGCAAGUCGAACGAUGAACCGGUUUCGGCCGGGGAUUAGUGGCGAACGGGUGAGUAACACGUGGGCAAUCUGCCCUGCACUCUGGGAUAAGCCCGGGAAACUGGGUCUAAUACCGGAUACGACACUCCGAGGCAUCUUGGGGUGUGGAAAGUUCCGGCGGUGCAGGAUGAGCCCGCGGCCUAUCAGCUUGUUGGUGGGGUAAUGGCCUACCAAGGCGACGACGGGUAGCCGGCCUGAGAGGGUGACCGGCCACACUGGGACUGAGACACGGCCCAGACUCCUACGGGAGGCAGCAGUGGGGAAUAUUGCACAAUGGGCGAAAGCCUGAUGCAGAGACGCCGCGUGAGGAUGACGGCCUUCGGGUUGUAAACCUCUUUCAGCAGGGAAGAAGCGAAAGUGACGGUACCUGCAGAAGAAGCACCGGCUAACUACGUG
This 463-nucleotide ribosomal RNA is filed under the name uncultured bacterium. RNAcentral's name for it is "partial 16S ribosomal RNA". It matches the Rfam family "Bacterial small subunit ribosomal RNA", at positions 28 to 507 of the family's 1533-position model. The record is from RNAcentral.